RNAcentral lists this small RNA (571 nucleotides) under Pongo abelii (Sumatran orangutan). Its description in RNAcentral is "processed transcript". The record is from RNAcentral. Lineage: Eukaryota; Metazoa; Chordata; Mammalia; Primates; Hominidae.
GUACCUCCGAGAGGCUCGGCGUUGAGCCCGGGUAGGGCCAGGUGGCUGCCCUUUCACCUAGGGUAGACCCUGGCCGCCUCCGCUCUUCGCCCGAAAGGGAAUGCAGCUCUGGGAAAGUAAGGCCGCCGCGGUUGCGGCUAUAUUAUGUAUAUGUCUUAGAGACGCGAGUUUAUCUCUGCCUUCAAGCUUUCCUGGGCUCUCGUCGCUCCUCCUCCCGACCCGCCCAUCCCAUCUGGGGAUGAGAAGAUUGAGGGUGCAGAGCCCUGUCCUGCAGCGGGGAUUUGCGAGCUCAACCCGGCACCCCACUGAUUACAGGAUUACAUUGGACGAAUAUUUGAGCUUAGUAUUCCCUGUUCACUGUGUGGGGUGGUGGUGGGUCGGCUAGGAAUAGUCUUGAAGGUCUACCUCUGACAUCUCAUUUCAGGAACCUGGCAUCUUCAGGGACAGUUAUCUGCUUUUUAAAGGAGAACUGCAACUGUAAUUUCAAAUAAGGAAAACUUUAAUUUUCAGUAUAAAAAUUGCUCAAAUAGAAUUGCCUAAUUUUAAUGACAAAAGGUGAAUUAUAGUUUAA